CGUAGGUGGCAAGCGUUAUCCGGAUUUAUUGGGCGUAAAGCGAGCGCAGGCGGUUUUUUAAGUCUGAUGUGAAAGCCCUUGGCUCAACCAAGGAAGUGCAUCGGAAACUGGAAAACUUGAGUGCAGAAGAGGACAGUGGAACUCCAUGUGUAGCGGUGAAAUGCGUAGAUAUAUGGAAGAACACCAGUGGCGAAGGCGGCUGCCUGGUCUGUAACUGACGCUGAGGCUCGAAAGCAUGGGUAGCGAACAGGAUU
Molecule: ribosomal RNA, 254 nt
Filed under: uncultured bacterium
Lineage: Bacteria
Description: partial 16S ribosomal RNA
Rfam family: Bacterial small subunit ribosomal RNA
Source: RNAcentral